This is a long non-coding RNA of Peromyscus californicus insignis, 2014 nucleotides long. RefSeq lists it as uncharacterized. Lineage: Eukaryota; Metazoa; Chordata; Mammalia; Rodentia; Cricetidae. The transcript is spliced from 2 exons. The record is from RefSeq and is a predicted model, not a curated record.
AGAGACAGUCUGCAGCAUCCCUCAGAUUCUCUCAAGCAUCCAGAAAUGGCUAAACUAGCCCACUACGGCAGCCACUCUAGAACUUCUAUAACAAGACCAAAAAAGAAGCUUUUAAAAGCUCAAAGUUACCUAUAAAUAGAUCCACUGCCUGAUGGAACCACCGCCCACAGUACUUCAAGGCUGCAACAUUAUCCAGGAUUCAAGAAUGACGAGAGAGGAAGACACAAGGUUCUUUCAGAUGCCAACCCUAGAGUUACACUACAAGUAAAUAAGAUGCCUUGGGAAGAGCGUGUGCGUGACAGCUCAUCAGGGGACCACGCAUCACCCAUUCAAUCUCCUUAUGGGAAGUGAAAAUUAUGCUUCUUCAUGUGAUCAAACCCACCCUUCGCGCUGUUUCUUCUUUGCAGAGAGAUUUUCUUCUUUCUUUUCUUAAUAUUCCCAGUAGACACCUGCUCAGUUGUGCAGUGAGCGCUUACAACACACGUGCUCAGGAUGCCAGAGUUUGGCAAGUACAACCCAAGGGAAGAGUUCUGGUUUCCUUGUGAUGCCUGUCACCAAAAGCGGCAUCUCUAUAUAACACAACCCUGACAUCUAAGGCCCAGGGAACACUGUUGGAGAAGAGGCAGAAAGAUUUUAAGAGCCUGAGGACCAGGAAGAUUGCUGAGUGGCAGUCUCUCCUGGACAGGGCAGGGAUACGGCUUCUAAGAACUCAGUAUGGCUGCCUGCACAGGACCUGCAGAGACCACACCAACUGACAUCCUAACGUGAAUGGAGGAAAUUUUCACAAGGCCUCAUCCUCAGACGCAAAGCUACAGGCAGGCAAUGACUGUCAACUGAAGGAAAACCAGACUUUUGUCGUUAUUUUUUCAGGGAGGAGACCCAAUUCUUUUUUUUUUCUUCCUUUUUAAACCUUUCUAUUGAAGUUAUUAUUAGCAGGUGGAAAGCUGAAUGUGUUUAAUAUAUACAACAUAGAAUAAAUUUUUUUUUAAAUUUUUAUUCUUGUUUCCCUUCCUCCCCUCCUCCCAGUCACCUACCACCUCCCCUCUCCCUAAGAUCUACUGCUCCUCCAUUUCCCUUCAGAAAGGAGCAGACCUCCAGUGACACCAACUGAACUUGGCAUAGCAAGAUGCAAUAAGACUGGGCACAAACCCUCAUAUCAAGGCUGAACAAAGCAACCCAGUAGGAGGAAAAAGGCCCCAUGAGUAGGCAAAAGAGUUAGAGACACCCUCCACUCCCACUUUUAGGAGUUCCACAAAACACCAAGCUAACAACCAUAAUAAAUAUGCAGAGGACCUAGCUCAGACUCACAGGCUCCGUCUCUCUGAGCCCCUCUGAGCCCUGCUUAGUUGAUUCUGUGGGCUGUGUUCUCCUGUUGUCCUCAACCCCUCUGGCUUCUACAAUCCUUCCUUCCCCUCUUCUGUGGAGUUCCCUGAGCUCUGCCUAAUGUUUGGCUGUGGGUGAGAAGACCCAAUUCUAAGUGGUCACCUCUAAAUAUGUAUAAUAGGGGUGACAUAAUUGGACUGAGUAGGUUGUAGGUAUAUACCUACAUGUAUUUGUAUAACAAAAUACAUAUAGAAGAGGUCUUGGAUUUGAGAGAGGGUGAAUUGGGUUGGGGAAGAUGCAGGAGGAGUUGGAGGGGGAAAGGGAUGAGAAUGAUGCAAAUACAGUGUAAUGUAUGAAAAACUCAAAUUCAAAACGAGUUCCAUUUUUUUUGAAAAGGGGACUGUUUUGACCCAUUUUAGACUAAUCUGAAAUAGUCCAUCAGAGAAUUAUGAUGUGGAAUUCUAUUUAAAUGAGUUUCUAACUAUGAAACACACCCUAAUAGCUAGUAUGGCGAGAGGAUGGGGAAAGGAGUCUCAUCUCUGUGUGCAGACACUUACUACAGGUUUUAAUUUUAGUCUUCAAAACUGAGACUCAUAACUGCAAAUUGUUUUUUCACCAAGUGGCAGAGAAUGUAAUUGUAUAGGCUUAGGAAGCCUAGUAAAUAAUGCAUUUGGACUUUAUUUUAAGAUUA